This 319-nucleotide long non-coding RNA is filed under the name Malus domestica (apple). RNAcentral's name for it is "long non-coding RNA (MDOM_LNC012196)". Lineage: Eukaryota; Viridiplantae; Streptophyta; Magnoliopsida; Rosales; Rosaceae. The record is from RNAcentral.
UCUUAUCAACAAUUGUACUAGCCAUUCUCAACAUGGAAGGCGCCACAUGCUCAGAUCUAGCAGCCUCAUUUUUCUUCCCAUUGGAAGAAGUCAUGCCAAUCACAAUCCUCUCGACAGCAGACAGAUCAUCAUGAGCAACAGUGGAAAAGUCUUCAGUUUUCUCUUAACUAACAUCUCUUGAGCAGGCGGGGAAGAUCUCUUCUUUCUACCUUCAUUCAUAGUAAGCUCUACGACAGUGAUCAGACGAGCCAAUGCAUCCGCCUUGAUCAUCUUUACCUCAUCUUUCGGAGGCAGCCUACCUUUCUCCUGACGAAGAGGA